UACUCCAGAAAUUGAUUGCGGUUGCGACA
This 29-nucleotide small RNA is filed under the name Bombyx mori (domestic silkworm). RNAcentral's name for it is "piRNA piR-bmo-1789103". The record is from RNAcentral. Lineage: Eukaryota; Metazoa; Arthropoda; Insecta; Lepidoptera; Bombycidae.